UACAGGGGGCUCGAGCGUUAGGCGGAAUCACUGGGCUUAAAGGGCGUGUAGGCGGAUAUUUAAGUCCGAGGUGAAAUCUCUGAGCUCAACUCAGAAACUGCCUUGGAUACUAUUUAUCUUGAAUAUCGUUGAGGUAGGCGGAAUAUGUCAUGUAGCGGUGAAAUGCUUAGAUAUGACAUAGAACACCGAUUGCGAAGGCAGCUUGCUGAACGAUUAUUGACGCUGAGGCACGAAAGCGUGGGGAGCAAACGGG
This 253-nucleotide ribosomal RNA is filed under the name uncultured bacterium. Its description in RNAcentral is "partial 16S ribosomal RNA". It matches the Rfam family "Bacterial small subunit ribosomal RNA", at positions 524 to 776 of the family's 1533-position model. The record is from RNAcentral.